RNAcentral lists this ribosomal RNA (1761 nucleotides) under Maoraxia auroimpressa. RNAcentral's name for it is "SSU rRNA". It matches the Rfam family "Eukaryotic small subunit ribosomal RNA". The record is from RNAcentral. Lineage: Eukaryota; Metazoa; Arthropoda; Insecta; Coleoptera; Buprestidae.
AGCCGAAUUAAGGUGAAACCGCGAAAGGCUCAUUAAAUCAGUUAUGGUUCCUUAGAUCGUACCCACAUUUACUUGGAUAACUGUGGUAAUUCUAGAGCUAAUACAUGCAAACAGAGCUCCGACCGGAGACGGAAGGAGCGCUUUUAUUAGAUCAAAACCAAUCGGCGUCGGGCUCGCCCGUCGUCGUACCCACUGGUGAAUCGGAAUAACUUUCUCUGAUCGCAUGGUCUCGCACCGGCGACGCAUCUUUCAAAUGUCUGCCUUAUCAACUGUCGAUGGUAGGUUCUGCGCCUACCAUGGUUGUAACGGGUAACGGGGAAUCAGGGUUCGAUUCCGGAGAGGGAGCCUGAGAAACGGCUACCACAUCCAAGGAAGGCAGCAGGCGCGCAAAUUACCCACUCCCGGCACGGGGAGGUAGUGACGAAAAAUAACGAUACGGGACUCAUCCGAGGCCCCGUAAUCGGAAUGAGUACAAUCUAAACCCUUUAACGAGGAUCAAUUGGAGGGCAAGUCUGGUGCCAGCAGCCGCGGUAAUUCCAGCUCCAAUAGCGUAUAUUAAAGUUGUUGCGGUUAAAAAGCUCGUAGUCGAAUUUGUGUCCCGCGCCGCCGGUUCAUCGCACGCGGUGUUUAACUGGCGUGUCCGCGGGAUGUCCUGCCGGUGGGCUACUCGCAAGGGUGCCCAACUCAAUCCCACCGCGGUGCUCUUGACUGAGUGUCGAGGUGGGCCGGCACGUUUACUUUGAACAAAUUAGAGUGCUUAAAGCAGGCUAAAACUUCGCCUGAAUACCGUGUGCAUGGAAUAAUGGAAUAGGACCUCGGUUCUAUUUUGUUGGUUUUCGGAACCCCGAGGUAAUGAUUAAUAGGAACGGAUGGGGGCAUUCGUAUUGCGACGUUAGAGGUGAAAUUCUUGGAUCGUCGCAAGACGAACAGAAGCGAAAGCAUUUGCCAAAAACGUUUUCAUUGAUCAAGAACGAAAGUUAGAGGUUCGAAGGCGAUCAGAUACCGCCCUAGUUCUAACCAUAAACGAUGCCAGCUAGCGAUCCGCCGACGUUAAUUCGAUGACUCGGCGGGCAGCUUCCGGGAAACCAAAGCUUUUGGGUUCCGGGGGAAGUAUGGUUGCAAAGCUGAAACUUAAAGGAAUUGACGGAAGGGCACCACCAGGAGUGGAGCCUGCGGCUUAAUUUGACUCAACACGGGAAACCUCACCAGGCCCGGACACCGGAAGGAUUGACAGAUUGAGAGCUCUUUCUUGAUUCGGUGGGUGGUGGUGCAUGGCCGUUCUUAGUUGGUGGAGCGAUUUGUCUGGUUAAUUCCGGUAACGAACGAGACUCUAGCCUGCUAAAUAGGCGUAUUUCCGACAUCUCAAAGGCCCGCCGGUCCGGCGUUCGCGCCGUGGCCGUGCGCGGUUUUUACUGUCGGCGUACACACAAUUCUUCUUAGAGGGACAGGCUGCUUCUUAGCCGCACGAGAUUGAGCAAUAACAGGUCAGUGAUGCCCUUAGAUGUUCUGGGCCGCACGCGCGCUACACUGAAGGAAUCAGCGUGUCCUCCCUGGCCGAGAGGCCCGGGUAACCCGCUGAACCUCCUUCGUGCUAGGGAUUGGGGCUUGCAAUUAUUCCCCAUGAACGAGGAAUUCCCAGUAAGCGCGAGUCAUAAGCUCGCGUUGAUUACGUCCCUGCCCUUUGUACACACCGCCCGUCGCUACUACCGAUUGAAUGAUUUAGUGAGGUCUUCGGACCGGUACGCGGCGGCGUCCCCGUCC